Molecule: long non-coding RNA, 1105 nt
Organism: Bos taurus (domestic cattle)
Lineage: Eukaryota; Metazoa; Chordata; Mammalia; Artiodactyla; Bovidae
Source: Ensembl
GUACGGGCAAAGGGCGUUUGAAAAUCUUGUACAUCCUGAACAUUUAAUUCUAAAGUUCCCCCUGGGGGGGAUGGCCUCUGUGAGCUUGACUAAAUCAAAAUGUUCUGGUUCAAGAAGGAAGAGAUACGUGGGGGAGGGGCCACAAACCAGGCUUCUGGAAAGCUCCUGGGAUUGUCUUCAGGGACCAAACCAGCUGAGGCUUUCUGUCACAGUUCCAGAAUGAAUAACUCACACAACUAAUUAAGGGUAGUCUCGAAUAAUUAACAUCUGUGCAACCAGACAAUUUUGCCUCCGGACCAUUGAGAAGCAAAUCCAAAAGUGAAUGAGCCCUGGGUGCCUCAGGGAGAAAUGCACCCUCCUUUGUACCCCACCACAGACGGUUCUGAGAGGCUUUUCAGGAGGCUCUUCAGAAGGUCCCAGCGGACCUUGCACUGUCACCAGGAGUGGCGGCUUUACAUUCUGUGUCCCACCUUCCAUGUAUCACUCCUCGUCUCUCACUCCCGCUCCCCGGGGGUCACUUCCCACCUUAACUACUCGUGCGUGCACAUGCGCAUGCGCAAAAACGUGCACACGCACGCGCUCGCGCGCGCGCACACAGACGCACGGGGUGAAUGGCGUGGUUUGGUACACCAAUGGUGCUUGCGAGGAGUGAGUUUUAUAUUCGUUGGACGACAUCUGGGUCUUCCUACGUGAGGAUUGUGGAAUUACACUCAAGUAUCACGAGACGUAGACAAGGCUGGGAUGAAGCUACAUGAACCCACGGUGGUUUCCUCAACAUUGCCCAAUCCAACCAGUCCAUUGUGAAGGAGAUCAGCCCUGGGAUUUCUUUGGAAGAAAUGAUGCUAAAGCUGAAACUCCAGUACUUUGGCCACCUCAUGCGAAGAGUUGACUCAUUGGAAACUGGGAGGGAUUGGGGGCAGGAGGAGAAGGGGACAACAGAGGAUGAGAUGGCUGGAUGGCAUCACCGACUCGAUGGACGUGAGUCUGAGUGAACUCCGGGAGUUGGGAUUGGACAGGGAGGCCUGGCAUGCUGAGAUUCAUGGGGUCGCUCGCAAAGAGUUGGACACGACUGAGUGAGUGAACUGAACUGAAAUCUGAUUAAUUG